UAGGGAAUCUUCGGCAAUGGGGGCAACCCUGACCGAGCAACGCCGCGUGAGUGAAGAAGGUUUUCGGAUCGUAAAGCCCUGUUGUUAGGGAAGAAUGAUUGUAUAGUAACUAUAUACAGUAGAGACGGUACCUAACCAGAAAGCCACGGCUAACUACGUGCCAGCAGCCGCGGUAAUACGUAGGUGGCAAGCGUUGUCCGGAAUUAUUGGGCGUAAAGCGCGCGCAGGUGGUUUAAUAAGUCUGAUGUGAAAGCCCACGGCUCAACCGUGGAGGGUCAUUGGAAACUGUUAAACUUGAGUGCAGGAGAGAAAAGUGGAAUUCCUAGUGUAGCGGUGAAAUGCGUAGAGAUUAGGAGGAACACCAGUGGCGAAGGCGGCUUUUUGGCCUGUAACUGACACUGAGGCGCGAAAGCGUGGGGAGCAAACAGGAUUAGAUACCCUGGUAGUCCACGCCGUAAACGAUGAGUGCUAAGUGUUGGUCUCAUAAGAGAUCAGUGCUGCAGCUAACGCAUUAAGCACUCCGCCUGGGGAGUACGACCGCAAGGUUG
This 548-nucleotide ribosomal RNA is filed under the name uncultured bacterium. RNAcentral's name for it is "bacterial SSU rRNA". It matches the Rfam family "Bacterial small subunit ribosomal RNA", at positions 355 to 896 of the family's 1533-position model. The record is from RNAcentral.